GCGUCAUUACACCACUCAAGCCUCGCUUGGUAUUGGGCGACGCGGUACGCCGCGCGCCCCAAAUCUUCCGGCUGGGUCUCGAUCGUCCCUCAGCGUUGUGGAAACUAUUCGCUAAAGGUGCACUUUUGGGUCACGCCGUUAAACAACCCCAUUCAUUAAAGGUUGACCUCGGAUCAGGUAGGGAUACCCGCUGAACUUAA
RNAcentral lists this unclassified non-coding RNA (200 nucleotides) under soil metagenome. Its description in RNAcentral is "partial contains internal transcribed spacer 2 and large subunit ribosomal RNA". The record is from RNAcentral.